RNAcentral lists this ribosomal RNA (253 nucleotides) under uncultured prokaryote. RNAcentral describes it as "partial 16S ribosomal RNA". It matches the Rfam family "Bacterial small subunit ribosomal RNA", at positions 525 to 777 of the family's 1533-position model. The record is from RNAcentral.
CCUCCUUUUUCGCGCUUUUUUCGGAAUUACUGGGCGUAAAGCGCGCGCAGGCGGCUAUCCAAGUCAGUGGUGAAAGCCCGGAGCUCAACUCCGGAACUGCCAUUGAAACUGUUUAGCUUGAGGAUGAGAGAGGUGAGUGGAAUUCCCAGUGUAGAGGUGAAAUUCGUAGGUAUUGGGAAGAACACCGGUGGCGAAGGCGGCUCACUGGCUCAUUACUGACGCUCAGGCGCGAUAGCGUGGGGAUCAAACAGGA